Molecule: ribosomal RNA, 468 nt
Filed under: uncultured bacterium
Lineage: Bacteria
Description: partial 16S ribosomal RNA
Rfam family: Bacterial small subunit ribosomal RNA
Source: RNAcentral
GACGAACGCUGGCGGCGUGCUUAACACAUGCAAGUCGAACGGAAAGGCCCUGCUUUUGUGGGGUGCUCGAGUGGCGAACGGGUGAGUAACACGUGAGUAACCUGCCCUUGACUUUGGGAUAACUUCAGGAAACUGGGGCUAAUACCGGAUAGGAGCUCCUGCUGCAUGGUGGGGGUUGGAAAGUCUCGGCGGUUGGGGAUGGACUCGCGGCUUAUCAGCUUGUUGGUGGGGUAGUGGCUUACCAAGGCUUUGACGGGUAGCCGGCCUGAGAGGGUGACCAGCCACAUUAGAACUGAGAUACGGCCCAGACUCCUACAGGAGGCAGCAGGGGGGAAUAUUGCACAAUGGGCGGAAGCCUGAGGCGGCAACGCCGCGUGCGGGAUGACGGCCUUCGGGUUGUAAGCCGCUUUCGCCUGUGACGAAGCGUGAGUGACGGUAAUGGGUAAAGAAGCACCGGCUAACUACGUG